Molecule: ribosomal RNA, 431 nt
Filed under: uncultured bacterium
Lineage: Bacteria
Description: bacterial SSU rRNA
Rfam family: Bacterial small subunit ribosomal RNA
Source: RNAcentral
GCGAACGCUGGCGGCAGGCCUAACACAUGCAAGUCGAACGGAUCCUUCGGGAUUAGUGGCGGACGGGUGAGUAACACGUGGGAACGUGCCUUUUGGUUCGGAAUAGCUCCUGGAAACGGGUGGUAAUGCCGAAUGUGCCCUUCGGGGGAAAGAUUUAUCGCCAUUAGAGCGGCCCGCGUCUGAUUAGCUAGUUGGUGAGGUAAAGGCUCACCAAGGCUACGAUCAGUAGCUGGUCUGAGAGGAUGACCAGCCACAUUGGGACUGGGACACGGCCCAAACUCCUACGGGAGGCAGCAGUGGGGAAUCUUGGACAAUGGGCGCAAGCCUGAUCCAGCCAUGCCGCGUGAGUGAUGAAGGUCUUAGGAUUGUAAAGCUCUUUCACCGGAGAAGAUAAUGACGGUAUCCGGAGAAGAAGCCCCGGCUAACUUCGU